GGUUAAGCGACUAAGCGUACACGGUGGAUGCCCUGGCAGUCAGAGGCGAUGAAGGACGUGCUAAUCUGCGAAAAGCGUCGGUAAGGUGAUAUGAACCGUUAUAACCGGCGAUGUCCGAAUGGGGAAACCCAGUGCAAUUCGUUGCACUAUCGUUAACUGAAUACAUAGGUUAACGAGGCGAACCGGGGGAACUGAAACAUCUAAGUACCCCGAGGAAAAGAAAUCAACCGAGAUUCCCCCAGUAGCGGCGAGCGAACGG
This 259-nucleotide ribosomal RNA is filed under the name Klebsiella pneumoniae. RNAcentral's name for it is "Large Subunit Ribosomal RNA; lsuRNA; LSU rRNA". It matches the Rfam family "Bacterial large subunit ribosomal RNA", at positions 1 to 260 of the family's 2925-position model. Lineage: Bacteria; Pseudomonadati; Pseudomonadota; Gammaproteobacteria; Enterobacterales; Enterobacteriaceae. The record is from RNAcentral.